GUACGUACAAGCAGUAGGAGCACCUUCGUGGUGUGACUGCGUACCUUUUGUAUAAUGGGUCAGCGACUUAUAUUCAGUGGCAAGGUUAACCGUAUAGGGGAGCCGUAGCGAAAGCGAGUCUUAACUGGGCGCUCAGUCUCUGGAUAUAGACCCGAAACCGGGUGAUCUAGCCAUGGGCAGGUUGAAGGUUGAGUAACAUCAACUGGAGGACCGAACCGACUAAUGUUGAAAAAUUAGCGGAUGACUUGUGGCUAGGGGUGAAAGGCCAAUCAAACUCGGAGAUAGCUGGUUCUCCCCGAAAGCUAU
Molecule: ribosomal RNA, 306 nt
Filed under: Vibrio cholerae
Lineage: Bacteria; Pseudomonadati; Pseudomonadota; Gammaproteobacteria; Vibrionales; Vibrionaceae
Description: partial 23S ribosomal RNA
Rfam family: Bacterial large subunit ribosomal RNA
Source: RNAcentral